RNAcentral lists this ribosomal RNA (489 nucleotides) under uncultured bacterium. RNAcentral's name for it is "partial 16S ribosomal RNA". It matches the Rfam family "Bacterial small subunit ribosomal RNA", at positions 28 to 507 of the family's 1533-position model. The record is from RNAcentral.
GAUGAACGCUAGCGGCAGGCUUAAUACAUGCAAGUCGAGGGGCAGCAGGACUGUAGCAAUACAGUUGCUGGCGACCGGCAAACGGGUGCGGAACACGUACGCAACCUACCCAAAACUGGGGGAUAGCCCGGGGAAACCCGGAUUAAUACCUCGUAACCUUUUUAAGUGGCAUCACUUGAUAAGUAUAGCUCCGGCGGUUUUGGAUGGGCGUGCGCCUGAUUAGGUAGUUGGUGCGGGUAACGGCCCACCAAGCCUGCGAUCAGUAACUGGUGUGAGAGCACGACCAGUAACACGGGCACUGAGACACGGGCCCGACUCCUACGGGAGGCAGCAGUAAGGAAUAUUGGUCAAUGGACGCAAGUCUGAACCAGCCAUGCCGCGUGAAGGAUGAAGGUCCUCUGGAUUGUAAACUUCUUUUAUGGGGGACGAAACCCGGAUAUUCUUAUCCGAUUGACGGUACCUCAGGAAUAAGCACCGGCUAACUCCGUG